Oryza brachyantha (malo sina) is the source of this 658-nucleotide long non-coding RNA. RefSeq lists it as uncharacterized. The record is from RefSeq and is a predicted model, not a curated record. The transcript has 3 exons. NCBI's taxonomy places the organism in Eukaryota, Viridiplantae, Streptophyta, Magnoliopsida, Poales, Poaceae.
UCUCGCACCUCCACCCCCGCUCUUCUCCCUCCCCUUCCCACUGCCUCCGCCGCCGACGCCUCCAUAGACCGCACGCGCCCCCCCGCCCUCGAUGAAGCCGGAAGCCAUGGUCGCCGCCUGCAAAAGGUUGGGUGCGUCUCCUGCUAAGAGUGCCAUCGCGAGGGUUGUGGGGUGAUCCCUAAACGCACCAACCUGCCAAGCCAGAGGUCCCUCCUUUUUUUAGCACUAUCCUUUGCUCCAUUCCUACUCAGCUUAAUUUUGCCUACUACUAGUACUACCGAUCCCAGGCUCGAGCUUCUCAAGAUUAUUAUCGUCCAUGUUUUACUUCAUUGGCGGUUGGCACGCUUGUGGUUGUGGAUUUCGAUCGGUGUGGAGUGUGGUUGCUUUCUUAGAUCGAUGUAUACAUAUUCUUGUCGCUGGAGCUAUCUUUUUGAGCCAUUUAAGAAGAAAUGGCCCACUAUGUAAAUAACGCUAAAAAUAAAAACACCCACUAGGAAUCAAACAUAGGCCAUGUACUCCAAUACACAUGCACUGUAGUUCGUUUGCUGAGUUGAAUGAAUAAUUUACGGUAUUUGAUAUUGACACAAAAGGACAUAUGCACCGCAGCUAAUGAUUACUUGGUUCAUGAGAUUGUGUUAAAACGACAAAUAAUAUUAAA